UGCAGAUGAUUUUAUUACGUCUUUGGUGGAUGUAAUAAAGAGAUGGUUAUGACUGCUAUAUUCCAUUUCUGCUAAAAAAAACAAAACAAAAAAAACAUUCUGGUUUUAAUAUUAGUUUUAUUAUAGAUAGAUUAAUUCUGAAUAAAUAAGUCAUUUACAUAUAUUAAAAUAUAGUGUUGUCACUUCAGAAAUAUGAACUAUUGCAAGAAAAAUAGAACACAUGAUUUAAGAAUAAACAG
Thalassophryne amazonica is the source of this 239-nucleotide long non-coding RNA. RefSeq lists it as uncharacterized. The transcript has 3 exons. Lineage: Eukaryota; Metazoa; Chordata; Actinopteri; Batrachoidiformes; Batrachoididae. The record is from RefSeq and is a predicted model, not a curated record.